AUAUGUGAAACUAAUUAGGAAUCAAACUGUCUUCAAUAGUUAGAUGGAGGUGGAGGUAUGAAAGGAAUGGAAGGCAAGCUGCUGCUGGGAAGUGGUGGAAGAAUAGUGAUAAGCUUAGGCUAAGAUGGUGGGAUUGUUGGUAGCUUUGGGAUUCAAGGCAAUAUAGGAGGAAGUGGUGGAAUUGGUACGCUGGGAAGUGGUGGAAGAAUGGGGGUAGGGUUAGGAAGUGGUGGAAUUGGUACUGGUACUCUAGGAAGUGGUGGAAGACUGGGGGUAAGGUUAGGAAGUGGUGGAAUUGGUAAUCUGGGAAGUGGUGGAAUUGGGAAUCCAGGAAGUGGUGGAAGAAUGGGGGGAAGUGGUGGAAUUGGUGGAAUUGGUGGAAUUGGUGGAAUAGUUACUUGCUGAAGAUUUCGAGCUGCUAGGCUAACCUCCAUGCUUGAAAAACCCAACAAAAUGAAACAAGCUAAUAAAAUGAAAACGUUGGAACCUGCCAUUUUUUUUGGAGAGAUGAACUAAAGAUUGAAGAUUUGAGUUGAGGUUUGCAUUGAGGAAAGCAGGAUUGCUUUUCAGGUAUUUAUAGCCACAUUUGAAAGACUUAAUUAAUUAUUUGUUUGAGAUAUUAUUCCCCUACUUAGCAUACUACCUUUUCUCACCCAUCUGUCAUCACCAACAAAAAGAAGAAGAAGAUAAAUUAGACUCAUCCUUAAACUUAAAAAUAUUCUGAAUGAGUCGAUUUGUCUAAUGUUAGUUAAAAAUUAAAUGCUUUUAAAUUUUGUGUGAACUAUAUCUUUCUAUUUCCAUUUACCUAAUGCCAGUUAAAAAAUAAAUAUUUUUUUAUAUAAUGAGUGUAUAUUUGACUUACGUAUGUGGCGCUCUAUUAAAAAAAAAAUUAAAUUAGGUGGAUCAAAUUUAAAUAUUAGAUAACUAUACAUGUUGGUACUUAAACUUGGUAUUUAAGAUUUUUUGUUGUCCAAUUAAAGGUUGAAUUUAAAUUAGAUAGUUGAACUUGAUUUCUUAGUUCAAAUUCCAAGCUUAGAUACCAAAAUGUUUGGUAUAAUAUUAAAUUAAAAAAAUUCAAGAUGUAAAAUACUAAUUUAACAUUUAAACUAGUUGCCCCAUACAGCUACAAUGGUAAUGAUAGAAGAAAAGUAAUUGAAUGGGAUUAGGAGAUGAAGAUCCUAGUAAAGCCACCUCUAGAGGUAUGAGAGUUGCGACCACUCUAUAAUUGAAUGCUACAAAAAUGGUUAUAUCUAGGAAUCUUUCGCCAUUAGCUAAUAAUGGAAAUAGCUAUGUAUCACUUAAAAAACAACAAUUCAUAUUUUCUUGAAAUAUAUUCAAAAAAUUGAAAAAUAUAAAAAAUAUCAUUUUUCUAAAAAUCCAAAAAUUUUAUGUGAAUAUCAACAAAUUCAGAAACUAAAAGAUAUGGAAAGCUUUAAAGUUUUUCCAAAAAGAUAGAAAUUUGCAGAAAAUUAGGUAUUUAAGAUUCCAAUAUUUUUAUUUCCCUUCUUUCCUGAUUGGAGAAAAUAUGAAUUAGGUGACGCCAUCGUUAACAAUUGGGGCAAGGUAAGACACGGUUGGAAACUUCAAGUAGGUGUAAUUUUGGGGAAAUAUUACAUUGUUUAAUAAUGAAUAUUGACAUGAUUUACCCUGAGUUAAAUCAAUUAUAUUUUACUUAUAUUUUCUAUACAAAUUUUAUACAAGCCUAAAUUAAUCAUAUUCAAUCAUAUCAAUCUCAAUAUUUUGAAUAAGAUAAUAAUAUUUUCUUAAAACUAUAACUAUAUAAAGUAUUGUAAAAAUAAUUAUUCAAUUAUACAGCUAUUUUAUUUGUAUAAUUAUAAUUAACAUAACCUUCUCCAUCAUAUAAUUAAAAUUUGUUCAACUUAUAAUUACAACAACUUUCCGUGAAGAAAAGAGAGAGACACAAAUACAAACUAAUGAGAUUAAAUAAAUCUCAAAUAUAAAAUAUUCUUCAAUAAACAUCAUUAAUCAAUCUCAAAAGAAACAAGAAAAGAAAUUCAUAAAUUAAACAAUAAGAAUAUAAUAUAACAAUCCAUUAUUUAAUAAAUUCAAAAAAAAAAAUCACAUUUAUAUUUUAAAUUUUAUUGGUCUAAUUUUAGAUAGGUUUAUAAACUUCAAAUGAUUUAAAAUAUUAGUGUCACGCCCCUAAAUAUAGGAAGGUUCAUUGAAAUGAAUAAAUAAGAAAUGUGUUGACACCAUUUUUUUGAUGAAAACGGGGUUGACUUGGAUUUUGAAAAUGAAAAUUAAAAUGACAGUCGCCACCAAUCCUUUUUGAUAAGGUGUGAUCGGAUCACCUUGAAAAGUGGUUGUUUUUAAUAAACGAUUUAAUUUUAUUAAAACAACGAGUUUGGUCCACGAAAUUCAGAAAAAUGGGUUCGGGAGUCGGUUACGUACGAGGAAGGAUUAGCGCCCUCGUGACGCCCAAAAAUUGGUACCUAGUUGAUUAGUUAAUGUCUUAAUGUCAAAAAUUGUAAACUUUGAAGAAUUUUAAAAAUACGAUCCUUAAUUUUUUUAAAAAGAAAACUUAUAUAAAUCAAGUUACUCGUUAAGACCCUCCCAUUUCAGAAAGAGAAAACGUCACGCCCAAUGCGUUAGGGCACGAUAUUUUACCUCUUCAGAAAUGAGCUUGUCUAAAAACUUACACAAUAAAAUUUUAAAGGGCAUUCAAUUGUUUAAGUCAUGUGAAAAAUUGCAACCCAAUACAUUAGGGCACAAUUUCUCAAAAUAUUAAACAUUGAAUAUUGCAUUUAUUUUGAAAAAUCCUCAUAUCCAAUGCGUUACGGCACAACGUACUGAAUUCUCGAUAAUGAGCUAUUUAUUUAUGUUUUUGUUUUAAAGAGCACCCUCGAUUAUUUAGAUCCAACGAAGAAAAUUGGAACCAAUACGUUAGGGUUCAAUUCUCUCGAAGAUCCCAAAUACCGAGUAUUACUUUUAUUUUGAAAUUUUCCGUUUUUGAUAAAUCCGAGUAAAAAUGGAUGCAAAAUAAUGAUAAUGAUGAUAAUGUAAGUAAAAUAACACGAGCAAAACAAAAUAUAAAUAAAUAAUAAGACUAAUAUAAAUACAAUCGUGCAGGCGCAAUAACAAAUAAGAAACAGAUAAAAACUAAAGCAAGAAAAAUAAUAAUAACAUACAUGUAAAUAAAUAACUGAACAAAAUUAACAAAAUUAAAAAAAAUAUAAAAGAUAUAUUUAUACAUAUAUAUGUAUAAAAUUAUGAAAAUAUUAAAAACAUAUGCAUGUACACAUUUUUGAAGCUAUUAUACAUGAAAAUAUAUGUAAGUAUAUAUGCACAUACAUGAAUACGUAUAGAACCAUCAUCAAAUAUAUAAAAGUAUAUAUAUAUAUAUGUAGGUAUAUAUGAAUCACAAAAUUUAAAGAAUAAUAUAUAUAAGAUAUAUAUUUUGGAAGUAUAAAGAAUAUGUAAGAAUUUAUAUAUACAUACAUUUAUAUAUGAAAAUGAAAUAUAUAGAUAUGUAUGUGGGUAUGUAUAAAUAUUAUAAAAUAUAAAAACAUAUAUGUGUACGCAUAUAUAUAAAAAUAUACAUAUGUAUAUAUACAUAUAUAUUAUGAAAAUAAAGCUAAAAAAAAACUAGUUAGUGUAUUAACAUAAUUGUAACGACUAAAUAAAGGAAAAUAAUAAUAAUAAUAAUAAUAAUAAUAAUAAUAACAUUAAAAUAAUUAACUAAAUAAUAAAAAUUGCUAAAAAAAGAUUAAAUCGAAAUAAAAACGAAAAUACUGGGCAAAUUCGAAAUAAAAAAAACGAAAAGGAUUAAAUUGCUACACGCAUCGAAAGAGGGAGACCAAAACGAUAAAUAAACCAAAGCCCCAAAACGCAGCGCUGCAACGGACUAAAAUGAAACAAAAGGAAAACUAUGUGGCUAAAUUAAAAUAAAAGAAAAUAAUGAAAAAGGGCCAAAUUGCAACUCGUUGCAAAGUCGGAGUGACUACGCGCGCAAAUAUCCCCUUUUAAGAAAACACGCGGAUCCUCCCCCAGGGUCGGGUCACCGAGCGGGUCAGGGCCAAAAUGGCGUCGUUUUGGCACCUGACCCUAAUGACAAAACGGCGCCAUUUCGUUUAGGGUAUUUAAACCUAAUUUUUCCCAAAAAACCUAAUUUCAGCCACCAUUUAAAAAAAAUAAAAAACUUUCUUUUUCUUUCAAAAAUCUGACUUUUGGGGUAAAAUUUUUUACUUUCUCUUGAUAUUUUGCGCGAAUAUGAAUUGUUUUUUUUUAAAAAAAUAUGUAUAAAAAUAAAAAUGAACGGGUAUAAAAAAGAAAAGAGAUGCGAAACUAAAAUCACAUUGGAGUGAAUCUGUUUGUUUUUUUUAAAUCUGUUUUUGUAUUAUUUAAAAGUGUUCUUACAAAAAAUCUAAAAAGGAACCCCCUAAAUUACAGAAAAAUUUGGCUUUUAUAGCCGAUUCUCCCCCCUCAUUCUUUGCUCUGUUGCUUUUCUAUUGCUUGCAGGGACUUGACGCGGUGCAUGUGGGGUGUCGGUGGCAAGUGGGGUGAUGGAACAUCCGACGGUGGCCGUGGCUGCUGGUGAUGCGACUGGUGUGCGGCGGCCAAGAGCUAGGGUUUCAGAAAAGCUGAAACCCUAGUUUGACUGUUGGGGUUGGGAUUUUGGGCCAAUUGGGUUAUUGGGCCUCGAGUUUGGGUUUGUAAUUGGGUUAAUUUAUUUUUUUUGGGUUUUAUGUUUGGGUUUAUUGAAUAUUGGGCUGAGGGUUAGUGGGUUAGGCCUAGGUGGGUUGGUUUGGGUUUUGGGCCCCGGGCUAAAAUUGGGCUUGUACAAAAUGAAUUAGGUUUAAUGGCUAAGUGUUAAAGAAUUCACCUUAGAGACUUAAGUUCGAGUUCCCUUCCUUCCUUUUUAUUUUUGGUAACUUGGUUUUAGGGUAAAGUCACACUCAAAAUAUAUACGACUAGGAAUUAAGAAUAAAUAAGAAAUGGGCAAUAGGUCCAAUGGUUAAGUGUUAAUCCCCUAUCUUAGAGAUCUUAGGUGUAAGUUUCCUUUUUCCCCUCCCAUUUUUCUUUUGGAUUUCGACAAUAAGGGGAAAUUUGCUGUGCCACCCCUAGGGUUUUCAAACCCGAGCUAUUUAAUCAUUCUUUUCCCAUUUGGAUUAGUUUUGCUUCUUUUCAAAUUCUUGUAAAAUUUCUACUCAUAUUAUAUUUCUCUUAUAUUUAUUUUCUUUUCCUUUCUUUUCAUUGUAACACCCUAAACUCGGUCGAAUAGGUUCGACCUAAAUUUGGAGAGCUACAUUAGCCACCGAAGUGACUUUCCAUUAACUCCCAAUCUAACCUCUAACACACCACUUACUUGCAACGUAUAUUAUGAUAAGUUAUAUCAUAACAAGGGUAUAAUAUAAUACAUAUAAUGUAAAUCAUGCAAGCUUAAAACCAAUGUAACACCCCAAACCCGGCUGAGUAGGUUCGACCCAAAUUUGGCGAGUUACAUUAGCCACCGAAGUGACUCUCCAUCAAUUCCCAACCUAACCUCCAACACACCACUUACUUGCAAUGUAUGUUAUGAUAAGUUAUAGCAUAACAGUGAAAUAAUAUCACAUAUAGAAUGUAAAUCAUGCAACCUUAUCAAACAAAAUGAGGGAACGGUUCGCAUGUUAAUUACUACGUAAGGCUACGUAGUAAGGUUAUCGCACCUAAGGGUUCACAAGCAUAUAGGGGGUCACAAACAAACAAAGGUCGCAGAAAAUAACACUUCGCAAAAAAAAUUGGCUCGCGUAUGAUGUUAAUACAUAUUUUGGAAAAAUUGAAAGAAUGCGACAUGGUACUCAUGCUAGGAGAAUUAAAGAAACAUCAAAGUAUAUUCAUGCAGAGAAGAAAUUAGUAAUAAAGGUUUAACUUCAUGGUUCGCAAAAUAUUAAAAGAAUAAACUUAAACUUUAGGGAAAUCGUUUCAUUAACAGAAUCAUAUAAUGAUAAAUCUAAACCUAUAUAAAUAAAACCCCAUCACCUAUUUCCCUAGGUUCGCAUUAUUUGUUCAGAGAUAGCCUCGCUAUUGCCAUUGGCGACUUACUUACCUGCAAAGUAAGAGAAGAGUGGGUGAGUUCAUUGCGAACUCGGUGAAUAAUCCGGAAUCAUCAACGUAUGAUUAAAAUACAGAGUUUAAAAUAGAAAGAAGACUUAGUAUGAAAAACUAUUGUAUCGCGUGUUGGGUUCGCAGUGAAUGCUAGGUUCGCAGUGAAUGUGCGAGACCCAGUUUAUAGAACCUGCUUGUCAUAAAAUCAUAUAAGUUUGAAAAUAGUUUUGCAUGUACUUACUGAAAAUCAUACUUAAAAACUUAGCUUGUUCUUGUUUGAAAAUGGAUCUUUUAUAGAAUGAAACAUGCUCACAUACUUAUCUUAUCGGAAUGGCUGAGGAAUAUAAAAUAUGUUCUUGCACUUUUCUUAACUUACUUAUAUUAUCUUGUCUUAUUUUGUUGGAUAUGUGGAUCUCUUUAUAACGCCUCAGAAUGACUCAAAGAGUCCUUAAGAUGUCCCAUAAGUGUAACAUAAGCUAAACACUCUCUUGUACACCAACAUGUCCUAUUGAAUGGAGCAUAGCUUGGCGUUCCCUUAUCUCUCCACAUGUCCCAAAGCCUCAAUGCCCAAAUCACAAAACUUAUUGGUGAGUACUCACAAUCCUUUGGUAUACAAAUAUAUCCAAUAUAUAAGCUCACAAAGGCACUCGUAUAGAAACUUAGCACAUAGAGCUAGAAAAAACAUAGCUUAUAGAACUGUAUUUUUAAAACAUGCUUUAAAACAUAGGCUUGCAUAGGAGCAUGCGUAACACAUAUCUUUAAAACAUAGCUUAAAACAUAUCUUGAAAACAAAUUAUCAGAACUUUUAAAAACAUAGUUUUAUAGGAAAAAAAACUUACUCUUGGAACUUAGUUUUUAAAAAAAAAAGAUUCUUAGAAAACAUAACAGUUCACACACAAGUUACGAAACCUGAGCAUUCAUACUAAAAAACAUGAUAGUUACCACACUUAUGGCAAUUCUUAACCACUCAUCGAUAAAACUGAAAAUUUAAAUGAGUUUUGCCUUGCCUUUAUCCUUGCUGUAGAUAGUCUGGUUGGUUCGUAACAUGCAUAAACACACAAAUUACUUCAAUAGACAAAACUUACGAACUUCACACAUGCAAGCGAACCUAGCUUUCUGGACAAUAAACCCUAAUAGGAAAAAUGCUUACCUUGGUUGCUACGAAUUUGGUUCAGAACAAAGACUUGACAACAAAAUAACGAUGAAAGAAUUUUUCCUAGAAUAAGGAUUGUAUUUAUAGGCACUAAGUAUCUUAGUGACCUUAGGAUACCCUAUUUGACUUAGGAACCCUCUACGGUUUAAAAGAAGGUUACGUGCACGAAAAGUAUCCUAGAUACACAAUAUAUUUAUUUCCUAAGUUUAGUCUAACUUGACUUUUGAUUGGCGAACCCCUAGUUUGUAACUCAAUUGUUGAACCCCAGCUCACUAAACAGAUUGGAGAACACAACUUUCAAUGAAUCUAGCGAACCUCUUACCACAUCAUUUGGCGUGCAGCAGUUUGCUAGAACACUGGCAAACUCCUUACUGGUAUCCCCUUUGGUGAACCCUAGUUUGCUGAAACACUAGUGAACCCUCACUUGUAAGGUCAAAACUUCUAGAUCAGGUUUCAGGAUGUUACAAACACCAUAUUUUUAUCAUAAUUGUUGUUGAUUAUUUUUCUUUCCUGAAUCAAAUCAUCUUUCAUUAAAUUAUUUUUCUAUUAGUUUUGUAAUUGUCGUCAAUAGCACCUCUAUAUUUGCCAAGAAACAAACCGAAUUUAGGUGAAUCAGACCGAAAUAAAGUGUGAAGAACAUCAACCGGAACUGUGGUGAAAGGUGUGUGUCUUUUCCAAGUGAAUCAGUGGUGAUCUGUGUACGAUUAAGGCCACAUGGGCUAUGCGUGUGGUCCACCAACUACCACACAACCAUGUGCACUUGUAGAUUUUAGGGACUUCAUGAACCAUACGGCCUCAGCCAGUUACACGAUCGUGUCUUUCCUGCAAGGUUUAUCAUUUUCCACAUGGAAUCAUGCUGUUACAUGACCGUCUAACCCUUACACAGGGUCUUACCCUUCUCACAUGGCCUGGCCAUACAGCCGUGUGACCCUGUUUUACAGUUUUGACCAAAAAUUUAUCAUAUGUUCAAUUUAGUCCUCGUUUAUCCCUUGAAUUAUUUUAGAGUUUUCAUUCACUCAAUUAAGUCCUUGAUAUUGUGUUUAUUCUAGAAUCUGUGAUUUAAUGACUAAAUUCCUAUUUUUAUAUUGUAUGAGAUGUGAAUAUUACAUGCCUACUGUCAUUGUAAUACUGAUAAACUAUUAAUGAUAAUAUUGUUACCACCCUAUUGAGUACAUGUUAAGCAUGUCUACUGCUAAUGUUGAACUGAAUACAUGAUAAGCAUGUCUAUUAUUAUUAUUUUUUGUAUUGUUCUAUUACAAAGCAUGCCAUAUUGCAUUGCAUGGGGUGGGACGAUAUGUAUGGAGAAAGGGUGACAGUUUAAUAAUCUGCAACCCAGUGGUGGCUCGUCCACAAACCCAAUGGCAGUUUAUCUGCAAAUGUUUUAACUAAAAAUACUGGUUGUUUAUCCGCAAUUUUUACAACGAAGUGGUAGUUUAUAUACAAAUCAGUGGUGAUUUAUCCACAACUCGGUGUGUAUGGAUGGAUGAGUUCUGGGGAACUCAUAGUGUGGUGUGUAGUGAAGUUGGGUAGGACCUUUUCUGAUAAACUGAAAUUGCAUUGCCAUUCAUAAACAUGUGCAUACAAACCAUGAAUUCUAAAUAUUAUAGUGAAGUGUUGAAUUGGAAAACCGAUAUUGUGAAUUGCUAUACGAUUGUGGUUAUUCUAAGAAUUGUUAUUUCGUAUGCUUUGACCACUAUGUUACACCGAUUUUCUUGUGAUAUGACUCACAUUGAGCUUAAGUUCACCCCCUUUUAAUUUCCAUCUUUAUAGAUAACCCACCAGGUUAGGACAUAGACACAACAUCUGGAAGGUCUUGGCUCAGAUAAAUUUUUUUAUUAAAAGUAUUUUAGACUUAUUAUUAUUUCUAUUAUUUGGAAUUGUAUUGUUUUAUUCAAACUUUGGCACGAGACUUAAGUUUUGAGUUUAUUUGACAUGCAUGAAAUUUAAUUUGAAUAUUAGGAUAUUGAAACAUGGAUUUUAAACUAAUUAUGCAUGAAAUUUUGGUUUCGCCAUCAUUAAAAAUAUUUUGAAUAUCAUUUUUCCGCUACGAUAUUAUGAAAAUAAGAAUUUGAAAAAAGUAAAUGAAUUGGAAAUCAACUUUUACUAAGUAAACUUUAAAAUCCAUUGUUUUUUGGAAACUUUUAUUUUUUAGUGAAAACAUGAUUACACGCAAAGUUUUUCUUCAAUAAUAAGCAAAUGUUUUAAACAACUGUUUUAUAAAAACUCCGAUAGUUGUAGUAGGCCAUUUCGGUAGCCAAUGCAAUCUUUUGAAUUCAGUCUUAACGUUUAGGCCGAGUUGAGGAAGUUACUAUUAGCAACUUAACAUUAAUUUGAACAUUAAAUGUUGGUCCAAACUUGACACGAAAUAUAUUUAGAAUACAUAAAUCAAAAAAUUAGUAAGUUGGCUACUUGGGUUAAUUUAUUGGUUUGACACAACAUAUCCUAUAGUAAUUCAAUGGGAUUAGAACAUCCCAACUCCUAGUUGAUUUAAUUGCUAGGUUAUCUAAGUCCACGCUUGCAAUUAUUGCUUAAAGCAUUUGUUUAAUAAAAUCUUAAAUUCCAAUGGAGGUGCUUUUUCAUAAUAUGAGGUAACCUAAGAAAAAGGAAAAAGUUGAACAUAUUGUUAAGUUAAAAUUGAACAAAUUAAGGCAAAGUGUACAAAUGGAGUGUCAUCAUUCAAAUCGGUCCUUCUCUUAAUUGUCAUAAGCCAAUUAGGUAAGCCAGAUUCUUUUAAUAAAAAGUAAAGAUUUCAUGGCAUCCCUAAAGCAUUGCAAAUUUUUUGUAAGCAUUAAAAUGGCAUUAGUUGGUACAAUACUGGUAUUGAUCUGUAUAUAUUGCUUCGGUUUUGAUCAGUACCAAAUAGUUUAUAUUUCGUUCAAUCAAAAUUUUGUUAUGUUUGAUUAUUUCGGUGUGUUUCGACCUAUUUUGGUCAAUAUCGGCUUGUACUAGCUAGUAUAAAAUUUGAUAUUUUAAACUAAAUUUUAAAAUUUUUUAAUCUUAAUUAUUUUAAUUUUGGCUAAAGGGUCUUCAAAGCCCUUGAACAUUAAAAUUUCAAUCAAUUAAGCCCAUCACACAUUAAAGUUAACGAUCAACCAUGAAAGAGCAACAAUAGCCAUUAUGAGCAAUUGUUUUCACCACGUGGCAUGUUAGACUGUACCACGUGACGAAAUAUGGUGUUUUAAAUUUAAAACCAUUAAAACUAUAGAAAAUCAUAAAAUAUUAAAAAAUUACAAAAGUUAUAAAAUUAUAUAAAAAUGAACAAAAUUAUAAAAAGUAGUAUAAAUGAUACAAAAAUUAUAUAAAUUAUUAAAAAAUUGCAAAAAGAAAACAUUAAAAAUAAGCUUAAAAUAAGAAUAUAUAAAAAAAUGUAAAAAAAAAAAAUUAGAAACUAAGUUUCGGAUACACAGCUCUGGCUGUAUUUUUCAUAAAUAAAAGCUUGGUUGAGAUUUUAGAUUUGGUAUAAAUACAAUAAAUAUAAUAUUUAUAGUAGUAAACAAGUGAAUGAAAUUAAGUAAUUGUGAUUGAGAUUCACCAUGAUUAUAUUUAUAGGAAUAAAAUAUUCCUAUAUAUAAUGAAAGUGUAAUUGAAUAAUAAAAUUCAUAUUAAUACAAGUUGCUUUAAAACAAAAGUAAAUAAUUUGAUAUUGAUCUUGUGAAACAAUUGAAUUUUGGUUUUGUUAUGGGAUUAAAUUAGCAAUUAAUCCUUUUUAAGAAUUUAGAGAACGAAUUAGAUAAGUUAGACAUAAAAGUAGAAGAGUAAAAAGAAAGGAAGUAGUGGGUAGAUUAACAUAAUUAGGAGUUUAAAUGAUAUGAUAAUAAUUAAAGCUUUAAUUUAGUUAAGGUAAUUAGAAAUGUUUGAUCAUAUUUUAGAUGUUAAUUGAAAUUAAACGAGUUAAUAGGUCGAAUACAAGUUUAUAUUUUAGUUAAGAUAAUUAAGAGUUUAACUAGAAUUAAAAAAAAAUAAGAAGCACAUUGAAUCGUCGAUGAAUUGAUUUGAUUCUAAAUCCAAACUCAAGAGAGUAGGAACAUAAUCCAUUGGAAACAACACUUUUAAGUUGUUUAAAUUUUUGAGAAAGAAAAACACUUUCAACCUUUUUUUUAAUCCCCACUCUAUCCACCAACCUACUCGUUGCUUUAUAAGUCAAAAUCGGGAAAUUAAAUAUUACACUAUUACUAAUUCGGUUAAAUUGGUUAAUUCGGUCAAAUGAAUAUUAUCGAUUUUUUGAUAUGUUUUUUUACUUGUUUUAACCAAAAAAAUAAAACAUAUAAAUUUCGGUUAAUUUGAUUAACCGGCCGAAUUAAUCGAAAUAUUUCGAUUUGGUUAAUGGUUAAAGAUACUAAUUCGAUUCGGUUAACUGAUCGGUUAAUUGUUUGAGCACCCCUAAAAAUAAGUCAUGGGACCAACAUACUGACUUCCAUACAAUUGUUAGGUAUAUAUAGCAACUCAUAAGUAUGAGUAGAAUUAGUACGCAGUACCUUAGAUUCAUUGAGCCACAUUUCAAAGUUUCCCAUGAUCUCUUUUGCUGUCAAUGAUAUAAUAAACUUUUUGUAUUCACAAUUAUGUUCACAAUAUAAAACAUAAUUGGUCGACUUGAAUACAAUUAAAUGAGACACUCUAAUGUUCUUUCCUUUUCCUCAAAUCUCUCUAUUUCAAUUCAACUACUCUCUAGAUAUGUCCCGUUAGAUUGAAUCAUACAUGAUCAUCGAUAGCCUACUAAAAUAGCUAAUAUUGAUGUAAAACUUCAAGAAACAGUUAAAGGUCAUGAGGGUACUUAGUAUAGAUCUUCAGUUGAUCUCAUGGGUUUCACACAACAUAGAAGCAGAGAUCAAAUCUUCUAUUACCCAUUUUGUUCGUAUAAUACACAUGUAGUAUGAAACACAUGCUAUGGUAUUACUCUCACUUUCCUUGAAGUGUAUGUCUUUAUCAAAAAAUCAAUACCACAUAGGUGAUAAUUCAAAUACACUUAGUAUCUAACUCGAGUCCACAACUUUAUUUUCUUAAUAGAUUCAACAACAAGACUUUCACCUGGAAUAAAAGACAUAUAAAGUGAAAAAUUCAUAUUUAAAUUAUCAAACAUAAAUCAAAUUGAUUAUAAUUAUAUCAUUUUGCAUAUAGCUCAUGUCGUGCAAGUGCACACUUUAGCCCCAACAAGUUUGGACCUAUGCCCUUCAUGCAUGCAAGGCAAGAUUCCAAACAUAAUCAUUCAAUCAUCAUUUAUGUGGGUUCUCAUAUAUAUACACAUCUCACACUUGGUAUUUAACCAAUGUGGGAUCUAAGCUUUUCUUUUCCUCAACAAAUAUUCACAAGUAGCUUACUUUGAGCACCAAUUUCUCAUUCAUCACUCAACCAUUUUGAGCAUAUGAUAUACUGUUGUAAAGGUCUCAUGGAGUAGAAUAUAAAAUCAUAAUUUUAUGAUUCAACUCUCAACAUUUACCAAUUAAAAAUAUGCCUCAAAGUUCCCAUAAAUUACAAAUUUUCCAACAACUUUUGAAUGCAUUAAUCAUUAUCAACAUUAACUCAAGUGAGGACAAGAAUAUAUUAUUCAACUUGCAAUCCUAGAGUUUUGACAUUCCUUUAAAAAAUCUCUAGGAAUCGGUUUUGUAAACUGAUUUGCAAUCCUCUUAUGCAUAGACUUUCUCUCUUGUUGUGAGAUUUACCUUCACACUUAUUUUUUCCAAUAUACUAACUUUAGAUAUUUGGAGUUUGGAGUUGGUCAAACAGAUGUAAAAGCUACCUUUUCCAAAUGAAAAUCUGGAAUUUACACAGACAAAGUAGAUUUCAUUGACAAAGGUGAAAUGCAUAGUCUGGGCAAGUUAUGAAGAUCAAUUUUAUGAUCUUAAGCGAUUUUCCAGAUAGUGAUAUGCUAUUUUUUUUAAUUAAGAAACUGUUUAGUUUGAUUUAAUCAUAAUUGAUAAAGACCACUUUACUCAUGUUAAAAGAAGGAAAGAAAAUUUUGUAACUAUGUCAUUUUAUGUGGGUGACAUGUUGUUGGCCGCAAAUGAAUUAGUGCUUAUCAUUAUGGGUUAUGCAAGACUACAUGUCAAUUCAUACGAAUGUGUCCUUUUUUCAAUGUUGUGAGUAGCAUCAUAUAUGUUAUGAUGUACAUAAAGCAAAGUAUCUCUUGUAUAGUUGGAUUCAAGACACUCCAAUCCAAACUCAUUGCAAAACAAUGAAAAUGAUAUUGAGGUAUUGAAAAGACACUAUGGAUUUUCACCAUGCUAUCUAAUUGUGAAUACAAAUACCUAUUAAUUAAAAGGAGAUUUAGAUGAAAUAUUGAAAUCUAUCUCCACACAUGUGUUCGUAUUUGAUAAUGGAGUGAACUCUUAAAGUAGUAAGAAAUAAACUUGUAUAGCAUGGUCUAUUAUUGAUGCUGAAAUUGGCAUUUUUAGCGAUGGUUCAAGAGAGUGUUUGGGUUAAAAUAAUCACGAUUAAUAUAGUUACGUUAAAGCAAAAUAUCUUCUAUAGUUGGAUUCAACAUAGUCCAAUCCAAACUUAUUGCAAAACAAUGAAAAUGAUUUUGAGGUCUUUUAUUGUUCUCUCUUGUAUAGUUUGCAUCUCAAGGCACUUUCUUGUUGAUUACGAUGAACAAAAAACGGUUGCAAGCUCUGGGACGAGCAAGAUCAAUAUCUUUAGAGAUCAAAUGAUGGUUAGUAUACAAAUUUAAAAACUAGUUUUUAUAAUUUCAUUUUCAUAUAGUUUUUAUUUAUUUUUUAUUAUAAAUUUUAUGCUUUUUAUAAUAUUUUAUAUGUUUUAGUAUUUUUACAAUAUUUUAAUAACUUUCUAUCUUUUUAAAUAUUUAUUACCAUUUUUAUUUUUAAUUCAAAUAAUUUAUUUUUUUCCAAUUUUCUAUAUUUUAUAAUAUUUUUAAUAAUAUUUUAUAUAUUUAAAUAUUUUUUCAUAAUUUUAAUUUUUUUAAAUUUUUCAUAAUUUAUAUGUUUUUUUAAUUUUUAUUUUAGUACUUUUUAAUGCUUUUCACAAUUUUUAAUAAUUUUUAUAAUUUAUAUUUUUUUUUCGUUUAUAAUCAUUUUUAUAAUUUAUAUAUAUAUCUGCAAUUUUAUAUAUUUUAUAAUUUUUGCAAUUUUUAUAUUUUAUAAAAUAAUUUUGUAAUACUCCAAACUCGGCCUUAACGUUAUGACCAAAUCUAGAGAUGCUAUGAAGAUACAUUAAAAAAAAUCUAGAAUCUGUUGAUUUUAUAAAAUGAUACUUGCCCUUAUUUAGUAAAAUCUGAGUUUAUUUGAGAAAUUUAUCGUUUUGAUGGGUUUGUCAAUUAUUUACUCAUAAAACUAGUCGAAUCCAAUUUGAAAACACGAUUUUUUUUGUUGUUGUAAAAUCCAUUAUUCAACAAUUCAAUUUUCAACCCACCAACGAGGAAAUCACACAGGACUUCCUGCUAACCUACCAUCUUUUUUCAAGAGUUCAAACCCAAUCCAACACCACCAACUCGACAGCACAUUAAGGGCUAACAAAAAUAAAUUAGAGACUCAAACGAUAAAUUAACAUCUUAUCGUUGAACUAGUAAACUCAUUCUAUCACAAAUUGAUCAAAAAUAGUAUUUAAGUGGUAAGGAACAAGAUAAGGAUAAAAGACAAAAAUAAUAAAAUUUCUUAAAAAUGAGAUUUGAACCCUAAUCAGUAAAACAAAUACUUAUUCAUGACAUAAAUUAACAAAUUAAAAAUUCAUAUUUUUGGGUCUUAAAAGUUUUUAAUAAAUUAUAAUUACUUGAUUCCAGUUUCUUUAUUAUGCCCAAAUUUAAGAUUAAGCCCUAUAUUUUAAUUUUGACAUAAUUUGAUUUAUUUAUUUUUAUAAUGUCAUUAGUUAUCUUAAAUCGCUAACAUUAUUAGCUAUGCCAAGUAAAAUAACAUCGCGUAUUUUUUUUCUUAAAAUCAUCACUUCUAACUAAAUAAUGGCUUAAUCACUUUUUUAACUAAUUAUACUAACAUAGAUUUUUUUUAGUUGGAACGAGUAUGUUUAAGGAAAAAUCACCUCAACACUUUACUUGAAAUUAGUAAUCACAUUAAUUAUUUGGACUAACUAAAUCAUUACUGAAUCACCUUCUAACUAAUUAUAGUAAUGUAUAUAUUUAAGAAAAAGCUCACUUUAAUGUUUUAACUGAAAUUAUUAACCGUGUUAAUUACUUAAACUAACUAAUGAAAAAUAUUUCAAAUUAAUUUAUACUGAAUAACUCUCAAAUCCAAGUAUAAUAAAAUAAUAUGACUAACUCAAACUUGGCGUUGAAUUGAGUUUGGGAGUAAAAUAAUCACAUCACUCAUUGGCAAAGCAUGACUGUGAUUAUGAUAUGGUUUUUCGAAGUAUAACUAUGGUGGAGUUGAUAGCAUUGAUUAGAAUACCUUUAUAAAUGAAUAUAUAACAUUUAAUCAUGUAUAUAUUUUUAAUAAUUUAAUAACUUAAAAAAACACCACACUUUAUUAUAUAUGUAAAAUGUAAAUAGAAGCUACAUUCUUAUUUCAUGAAAUAACAUCAUAGAGAAUGUGAUGGCAGAGUUCAUUCUCAGUAAUAUAUGUGAUACUAAUUAGGAAUCAAACUGUCUUCAAUGGCUGGAUGGAGGUGGAGGUGGAGGUGGAGACAUGAAAGGAAUGGAAGGCAAGCUGCUACUGGGAAGUGGUGGAAGAACAGUGAUAGGCUUAGGCUAAGAUGGUGGGAUUGUUGGUAGCUUCGGGAUUCAAGGCAAUGGAGGUAUGCAGGGUUGAGCUGAGAAUGAUGGUAGAUCUAGGAUUGAAGGCAAUGGAAGUAUGUUGGGCAACUUACGAAGUGGUGGUAGUUCUAAGUUCUGGGAUUGAAGGAAAUGGUGGUGGUUCUGGGAUUAAAGGAAGUGGUGACAUCGGAGGUGGCAAUGGUACCGGUAAAUAUGCAGAUGGCAAUGGUACUGGUAAAAAUGGAGGUGGCAAUGGUAUUGGCGACAAUGGAGGUAGCAAUGGUACUGGUGACAAUGGUAUUGGCGACAAUGGAGGUGGCAAUGGUAUUGGUGGAAAUGGAGGUGGCACUUGCUGAAGAUUUCGGGUUGCUAGGCUAACCUCCAUGCUUGAAAAACCCAAGGAAAUGAAGCAGGCUAAUAAAAUGAAAACGUUGGAAGCUGCCAUUUUUUUUUGGAGAGAUGAACUAAAGAUUGAAGAUUUGAGUUGAGGAAAGCAGGAUUGGUUUCGGGUAUUUAUAGCCACAUUUGAAGGAGUUUUUUAAUUAUUUGUUUGAGAUAUUACUCCCCUACUUAGCUUACUACCUUC
This 16437-nucleotide long non-coding RNA is filed under the name Gossypium barbadense (sea-island cotton). Its description in RNAcentral is "long non-coding RNA (GBAR_LNC014561)". The record is from RNAcentral. Lineage: Eukaryota; Viridiplantae; Streptophyta; Magnoliopsida; Malvales; Malvaceae.